This 434-nucleotide ribosomal RNA is filed under the name uncultured Lachnospiraceae bacterium. RNAcentral describes it as "partial 16S ribosomal RNA". It matches the Rfam family "Bacterial small subunit ribosomal RNA", at positions 341 to 792 of the family's 1533-position model. Lineage: Bacteria; Bacillati; Bacillota; Clostridia; Lachnospirales; Lachnospiraceae. The record is from RNAcentral.
ACGGGAGGCAGCAGUGGGGGAUAUUGCACAAUGGGGGGGACCCUGAUGCAGCGACGCCACGUGAGCGAAGAAGUAUUUCGGUAUGUAAAGCUCUAUCAGCAGGGAAGAAAAUGACGGUACCUGACUAAGAAGCCCCGGCUAACUACGUGCCAGCAGCCGCGGUAAUAAGUAGGGGGCAAGCGUUAUCCGGAUUUACUGGGUGUAAAGGGAGCGUAGACGGCGAUGCAAGUCUGAUGUGAAAGCCCGGGGCUCAACCCCGGCACUGCAUUGGAAACUGUGUUGCUAGAGUGCAGGAGAGGUAAGUGGAAUUCCUAGUGUAGCGGUGAAAUGCGUAGAUAUUAGGAGGAACACCAGUGGCGAAGGCGGCUUACUGGACUGUAACUGACGUUGAGGCUCGAAAGCGUGGGGAGCAAACAGGAUUAGAUACCCUGGUA